RNAcentral lists this ribosomal RNA (253 nucleotides) under uncultured bacterium. RNAcentral describes it as "partial 16S ribosomal RNA". It matches the Rfam family "Bacterial small subunit ribosomal RNA", at positions 524 to 776 of the family's 1533-position model. The record is from RNAcentral.
UACGAAGGGGGCGAGCGUUGUUCGGAAUUACUGGGCGUAAAGAGCUCGUAGGCGGUUUGUCGCGUCGAAUGUGAAAACCCGGGGCUCAACCCCGGGCCUGCAUUCGAUACGGGCAGACUAGAGUUCGGUAGGGGAGUCUGGAAUUCCUGGUGUAGCGGUGAAAUGCGCAGAUAUCAGGAGGAACACCGGUGGCGAAGGCGGGACUCUGGGCCGAUACUGACGCUGAGGAGCGAAAGCGUGGGGAGCAAACAGG